This 25982-nucleotide long non-coding RNA is filed under the name Nicotiana benthamiana. RNAcentral describes it as "long non-coding RNA (NBEN_LNC011949)". The record is from RNAcentral. Lineage: Eukaryota; Viridiplantae; Streptophyta; Magnoliopsida; Solanales; Solanaceae.
CCCAAACUUUACCUAAUCGGCGAACAGUAAACUAACAUGUGGGAGUAACCAUUUCACCAUUCUGUGUGCCCCACAUUUUUCCUCUUGUUUGAAACGACGAACGACUAAGGAGGCUCCUUGGUUUCAUCGGAACAAUUACAAUAAAUUAACAUACGCUUCUCUCCAACUCCAACCAGUGAUCCAUCUUCGCUUCACACCUGGCCACUUUACUCCGUUCAAUGGCUUCUCUCGCCUUUAAUUCCGUCGCAACCACCUCGAAAUUCCACUCCUCCUUCGCCGCCGUCGGAAGCUCCUCCAUCCGCCGCCAGCUUACGCAUCUCCGCCUUCCGUCUUCCCCUCUUCAGCCAUCACCUCCCUUGCAAUGCCGCUGGUCCUCUUCCUCUUCUUUCGCCUCUUCAGGUAUCUGACUUCCUACCUAGUACAGACGGAUCUAAUCCUUCUCAGCUCACUGCAUAACAUUCUUCGAGAGAGAGAGAGAGAGAGAGAACGUGUGUGUGUGUGCGCGUAUUUGUAUAUAAUAGACAUACUCACUGUGAAUUUAGUGACUAAAUUCUGGUCUUUCGCCUCUUCAGGUAUCUGACUUCUACCUAGUACAGACGGAUCUAAUCCUUCUCAGCUCACUGCAUAACAUUCUGCGAGAGAGAGAGAGAACGUGUGAAUUUAGUGACUAAAUCCUGCAUGCAAUUAUAUAUAUAUACACACACACUUUUUGGAUUCCCCUCCGCUUCCAAAAUGCUUCAAUUUCCUUAGACGACACGACCUCAUUUUAUGUGCCCUUUUCUUUUCUUUUUAUUGGCCUGUUUUUUGUAUAUGUUCCUUUGUGUAUGAUGUGUUGUAUAGAUGGAUAAUGGGAGUAUGGGACUGUGAUGUGAUCAGGCGUGAGAGCUCAGGUGGCAACAACUGAACAAGCUGGAGUUGAAGCUGCUGCGAAAAUUGAAACUCCCGUCGUUAUUGUCACGGGAGCUUCUAGAGGAAUCGGGAAGGCUAUUGCAUUGUCUUUGGGAAAAGCUGGUUGUAAGGUCUGCAUUUGUAUUCCAUUUUCUAUAGAUGCUGAAACUCUUUGGUUUUUGGAUUCUUUGCCUUCGAAUUUUAGCUAAUUACAUGGAACUGUUAACUACCAGAAAAAGAACCUUAUUCUGCCUUGAUAGCUUGUAGCUGCUGAAACUCUUUGGUUUUUGGAUUCUUUGCCUUCGAAUUUUAGCUAAUUACAUGGAACUGUUAACUACCAGAAAAAGAACCUUAUUCUGCCUUGAUAGCUUUUUCACUGGAAUUUAUAUGGAUUUACUCUUUCAUUCGUACGCAUUGUAUCCGUCAAUAUGGAUGGUCAGUUGGAAACCCCUGCAGUUUCACUGUAACAUAGCAUCUGCUUUAUGGUACUAUUGUAGUCGCUCAAGUUUUGCAAGGGAACUCAGGGGUGGAUGUUGAUUGUAAGGUUUGGUUUCAUCCAAACCUAGUAGCUUCAGUAAAUCAAAUGAGUUGUGGUAAAACCCCGAACUCAAAUCCAUAAAAUUCAAAUCCUAGAACCCCUGCAGAAAUACUCUCUUUGUCCAGUAACAAUGACCUUCUUUGCUCUGUGCGUUGAAACUCAAAUCCAUAAAAUUCAAAUCCUAGAUCCCCUGCAGAAAUACUCUCUUUGUCCAGUAACAAUGACCUUCUUUGCUCUGUGCAUUGUCUUAGAGUAAAAUGUUUAAAUAAAUCGUUUUAUCGAGUAGACUUCAAAAGAAUAGUUUGAGAUAUGCAAAAAGUAAAUUAGUUUGUCAAAAGAUGUCACAUCAAGUGUGAGAAAAUAAUCUAAAUUCCUGUUGGGUGUCAAUCAUUGCCAUCAAGAAGGAGAAUGAGUUUUUUCCAUCCCAAAGUAGAAAGGAGGCAGGUGUCUCUCUCGCCUUUAAAUGGUUGGUCAGGGACUCAAGGUUAUUCCUGUUGGGUGUCAAUCUUUGCCAUCAAGAAGGAGAAUGAGUUUUUUCCAUCCCAAAGUAGAAAGGAGGCAGGUGUCUCUCUCGCCUUCAAAUGGUUGGUCAGGGACUCAAGGUUAUCUUUACCCUCUUGUUUGAGUACUUGUUCUCCUGGUUAUCUCUCUAGUAUAUUUAGUGAGAUAUUUUAGCUUAAUUUAUGACGUGAAGUUGUCAGACAUUCAAAAAAUGUGGACGGCUUAGAUUUAAUUUCUUUGGAAACUGUCAAUCAUUCUUAGGCCUGACAUAUAGGUGGAUAGACAGGCAUUAAUAUUGAUCAAUUUAUAUAAUUUCUUGAAUACUCCACCAACCUGCGUCAGUAUAAAAGUCAAUGUUGUUGGCAGGUCCUAGUGAACUAUGCAAGAUCUUCAAAGGAGGCAGAAGAAGUUUCCAAAGAGGUAUAUGUUUUUCUUUUCAGUAAUAAUUUAAUGUAGUUUUGGUAUAGAUUACUUCCUUAUUCCUGUCAUUUCCGAGUGAAAGCUUCAUUCUUUAUUACUCCCUCCAGUCCAUAAUAAGUGACUUUUUAUACUUUGGCACACCCCUUAAGAAAAUACUAAAUCCUUGAGAAAAAAGGUAUAUUGACUAAAUUACCUUAAUUAAAAUUUGCACAUUGUUACUUUGACACAUUGGGAUAUGUAAAUGAGGGCAAAUUUUGGAAAAAUAAAAUUAAUUCCUUCUUGAUUAUGUAAAAGGACACUUAUUUUGGACCAAAAUAAAAAUGCCAAAAGGUCACUUAUGGGUCGGAGGGAGUACUAAAAGUAUGAGCUGUAUCUCGGACUUCAGUCUUUGCGUUUGGAAGGGUAUCUGAGCCAUGCAGAAUACUUCAUCUUCCAUGCUAUUUCUUAUUUUGCUUUUACUUUUGCUAGGGUACUUACAUUGUCCUUUAAAUUGUCAACUUUUAAGGGGGACCUCUCCUAUUUAAAAUAGUUCAAAGGUACAAUGCAUAAACCUCCCUUUAGUUUGUCUAAAAUUCGUGUGAUCAUUAAAUCUUAAUCAUCCAAUCAACUACCAAUGAUUUGUUUUAAUAAGAAUCUUUCACUAAUUGACGAAAAUGCAAAUAUAUAGUUGAUUAAGAAUUUCUUUCCAAGUAAAAGAACAAAAUGAUUAGAAAAGCAAAGGCUCCUAAAGGGGAGGCCUAGUGGUUGAAUCGUUGGUGUAACAACCUUAGGACACAAUCCCAGUAGAAGCGAUGAAGAGUAAUUCUUCUCAUUUUCCUUAGUGCGCAAAGUUACUUUGUAUCUGUGCUAAUGGAAAUAGCAAAUACCUGUUAAAGACAAUCGUAGUGUGCACAAGUUGGUCAGAACACCAACUUUUUGGGAAAACAAAUGAUUUUCAAAACCAUCGAUCCAGGAGUUGGCCCAUACUUCCAAAUUUUAUCACCACUGAAAAGUUAACUUAGCCCUCAGGACUUUGGUCAAUUUGUUAGGAUAAAGUGCAAGAUGUGCCGAUUGGACGCAUAUCACGAGUUUGAAAAGGUCAGUGAUAGGAAGCUUUAUAUUUAAGUGGGAGUAGGGUAAAGGGGUGAGCCCAUACUUCCCCAGUUCCUAAACUGGUUAUGGACGAAUAUCACGAGUUUGAAAAGGUCAGUGAUAGGAAGCUUUAUAUUUAAGUGGGAGUAGGGUAAAGGGGUGAGCCCAUACUUUCCCAGUUCCUAAACUGGUUUGUUGCCAUAUAUCUUUGCUGGUAAUAUUCACCUAGCAGGGCUGAUUAAGUCAUGGAUAUAUAUUGUAAUUGACCUGUGCAGUUGUAAUGCUUAUACUUUAUGCUUGUAUAUUUCAAAUAGUAAUUUUCUUCUGUUCUUGGCUAAUGCUUAUCUACCAAGAAGUGUAAAUUCAGGUUCCUGUUUUUGUGUAUGGUUUACCUAACCUUCACGGAAGUUCUAUUCCACCAAAAAAUCCGGCAAUCAUAUAUCGACUUAGGUUUAUCUCAGUCUUGUAAAUGAAUAAGACCUGCUCGUAUUCUAUUCAGUUAAAGAUGAAGAAUGUCUUCUCAAGGUCUUUACCUGUGCCAAAGAAAGUUCUCACAUAUGCUAGAAGGCUUGAAAAAAAAAAGAGAGAAUGUCUGGCGCCCGUUUUACAAAUACUUCCAUCCGUUGUUUGAUUGCUGUUUAGAAUUAAAGCUUCUCAUUCGCUACUUCUUCAACCGGCAAUUAUUUAAUUUAGGUUGGGAACAAGUUAUAUGGUUCUUGCUUUCGGCAGUUUGUUGUGUUCCUAAAUGAGAGGAUGUUUUCUGAGUGACUUGUAUUUUGCAGAUUGAAGCAUGUGGUGGCCAAGCCUUGACUUUUGGAGGCGAUGUUUCAAAAGAAGAAGAUGUAGAAUCCAUGAUGAAAACUGUAAGCACACUCUUUUGUUCGUAAUGUGAAUUAAUAAUGGAUCUUACUACAGUUGUUGCCAGCUAAAAUGCACCUCAUCAUAUCAUACCUGUAGGCAGUUGAUCGAUGGGGAACAGUUGAUAUCUUGAUCAAUAAUGCAGGUUAGCAGCAUUUAUUUUGUGUGUGUGUGAAGGCAAGUCAAAAAGGCCAUUUCAUUAAUUUUGCUCCAACAUAGUACCAUAAACUUUGCAUUUGUGUUGAUGCAUUAAGGAUCCGAACAAAUCUGUGCAACUUUUUUUGGAUAAGUAAAAAGGUUGGAAAUCUGUACAACUUUCUAUUUAAAAGGAAUGUGUCUUUACCCCAAAUAUACAAGUGAAACAAUAUUUUUUAAUGCAGGUUAGCAACAGUUUUCCUGUUUAUGUUAAGUCUUGUUAGAAUGUCCAAUCAGUAGUUGUCUUAUUUUUCCUUUUCAGGUAUCACACGCGAUACCUUGUUGAUGAGAAUGAAGAAGUCUCAGUGGCAGGAGGUUAUUGAGUUGAAUCUUACAGGAGUUUUUCUCUGCACACAGGUCUAUACAUUAGCUGUGUUUCAGUUGGUAUUUUGGUUGUGUCCCACCUCCUCCUCUCAAAACCUAUAUAUAUUUUAGGAUUAUAUUUCUGUAAAAGAAAUGGAUCUUGGGCCUAACUCUACCUCAAAAGCUAGCUCAUGAGGUGAGGAUUGCUCAAGUCAUAUAAAGAAACCACCCAUCCCUUUAUGGACCGAUGUGGCUCUUCAAUGCCCCCUCACGCCCAGGUCUGGAGCGUGGACAAUUAAAUAUAGGGGUCCAACAUCGGGAAACAAAAAUUGGGACGGGUCCUGCUCUGGUACCAUGUUAAAGAAAUGACCUUGAGCCUAACUCAACCCUAAAAGCUAGCUCAUGAGGUGAGGAUUGCCCAAGCCCUAUAAAGCGACCACCCAUCCCUUUAUGGACCGAUGUGGGACUCUUCAGCAGUUUCUUAUGAGGAAUCUUUCCUCUUGUUGCAGGCUGCAGCUAAAAUCAUGAUGAAAAAGAAAAAGGUAAAUUUGUGGACCUAAGUCGUGCUUUUCUCAAGUAAUAUUUCUCUGUAAAGGUUCAAGUUUUUUAAAUCUGCUUCAGCAUGCAAUGAAAUUAUUUACUUGACUGAUCCUUUUCAUGUAUUAUGAAGAACUUAGCUCUAUUGGCUCUACAGGAGUUAUGAGCACUGACUACACCGCAUGGUGGUCAAUGAGGUCAUCCGACCGAUCAUCUUCUAAACCUCAUGUGAUGGAAAUAGCACUAGAACAAUUAUAAACCAUGUGGGCUAGAGUUAAUCCUAGCCUUUGGGUAGAAUAACCAAAAUUAUAUCUGUCGUUCCUGGUUUGUUGGACUCACAUGCUAGUCAAAGUAGAAAGAAAAAUAAUCCAAAAGGACCAAAACACAAUGACAGGCUGGUAACUUGCUAUGCUAGCACAGCAUUUUUUUCAUGGGCGGUGGGCAGAAUUAACUACCUUAGCUGGAUUAAAGGGAAAGUGACAGAGCAGAUAAUGAUACAUUACUUGAAUGGAGAUGGUUAAUUUCCACCUAGCCUUAAAAGAUAACCUAAUUCGGCCGCAAAAUUGUCACAUGAAUUAGCGUCCUAUUUUCUUAGAAGCAUCAAGUUGUGUUGAUUUCAGCUGCAGAAUCUAGAGUUUUGCUGUGUUGGAAAUUGGUUUGAUGGAAUGAUUUUGAUGACUUAAAAUCUGUUUCUACCAAUUCCCUUUUCAUGGAUUUCAGUUGCUGAUGUCAUUUUCUUAGAUUUUGUCUCCUGCUAUAUUGCUGACAGCUACCUUUUCAAUCAACUUGAACCAGUAGUCAUUUGUACCAAACAACCAACAAACUGAAUGAUCCUUGAGUGCGCAAAGAUAGGUCAGAUUGUGCCAGAUGACAACUAAUGACACUGUUCCCACCAUUAUGCAUUGUCUCGUUUAUAUAGCGAUAUGUUGUCCUUGAAGAAAAACUGAUCACUAAGAUCUAAGUAAUGCAAUAUCUUCUAUAUAUACUCCAGGAAUUUAUGUAUAAGCAUGGUCUGCAUUUGUAGGGACGAAUCAUCAACAUAUCUUCUGUUGUUGGUUUAGUUGGCAAUGCCGGGCAAGCCAACUACAGUGCUGCUAAAGCAGGAGUGAUUGGCUUAACCAAGAGUGUUGCAAAAGAAUACGCCAGCAGGAAUAUUACUGUAAGUUCUCUUAAGCAUUCCCUUAUAUCGCUUAAGUAGGGCUUAUAUUAAUGCUAGUUACUGAAGUAUUUCGUAAAGCAUAUUAUAAAGGAAACUAUCUCUAUCAAGGACAAACUAAUUUCUUCUUCUUAUUGUUUUCUUUUCUUUUUUCCUUCGUCUUUUUAAACUAAUGACUUCUUAUGGCUUAUAAUUAGAUUUUGCAAGCUGAUUUUUUUCUUUUGACAGGUUAAUGCUGUUGCCCCUGGAUUUAUUGCUUCUGAUAUGACUGCCAAGCUAAGUGAGGACAUUGAAAAGAAAAUUUUGCAAAGCGUUCCCUUAGGUCAGAGUAAAUAUCUUUUAAAAGUAUUCUUGGUAUUUAUAUCUCAACAUAAUUACGACUUCCUGCACAUCUAAACAAGGAAAAUUCUACAACUUGACUUCUAAGAUAUAAGGACUCCAAGUAGAGUAGAACAUCAGAUGCAUUAAGCAGAUUUUUUUGUUUGUUUCCUCCGGAUUAUGAAGUAAUAAAACUAAAUGUGUACUGAAAUCUAAAAAAAUCGAGUGUUUUGAUCUUGCUAGAAGAGAAGAUUUCCCCUUCUUCCACUUGCAUCCACAUUUUCUAAAUUUUGUACGCUCUAUAUAUAUAAAAGAUUCAUUUAUUAAACACAAGGUUUUUAAAAGCGCUCGCUUUAAGCGACGAAGCGAGGCGAGGCGCAGGGGUUACGCUUUUCUGGGAAAAAAGCGACUCACAUUAGAAAAGCGCACGCUUUUCUCGCUUAAACGAGAAGCGACGAAGGCGAAGCGAUAAAAACGUUAAAAAGCUUGCUUAAGCGAGCAGAAGGCUGAAGCUAGUUUUUUUUUUAAAUUUUGGGCCGAGAAGCGGCGAAGCGAUAAAAGCGUUAAAAAGCUCGCUUAAGCGAGCAGAAGGCUGAAGCUAGGGUUUUUUUUUAAAAAUUUUGGGCAAAUAAACAUACGCUCCAAAGGCAUCUGUUACCUAAACAUAUGCGAACGACCUCUUCUCUUCUUCUGUUCAUCUUCUUCUGUUCUUCUUCUUCAGUUCUUCUGUUCUUCUUCAUGCUCUGUUUUUUGUCUUCUUCUGUUAUUCUUCUUCUUUUCUGUUUUUCUUUCAAUUUUUUUCUCCAGAUUAUGAACAGUAUGCUCUGUUCAGCUAACGACCACUGCUGCUCUGUUUUUCUUUUUGUUCUGUUAUUAAAAGUGUUGUUUAUGCUCUGUUUUCUUCUUUUAUGCGCUCUUUAUGCUCUGUUUCUGUUAUUAAAAGUGUUGUUUAUGACUUUAUGCUCUGUUUUCUGUUUAGGACAGUGAAUUAAUUGUUUGUUUUUUUUUUUGCAUUUGCUUAAGAUAUUAAGACUUUUGAGGAUUAUUCACUAUCUAGUUUUAGUAUCUAUUAUGAAACAUUUGCUUAAUAUGUUAUCUUUAAUGAGUUCUUAGUCAUUUAUCUAUGCCUAUUUUUUAUUUUUUUAUGUGUUAAAUUAUGCUUCACAGCAAAAAAGCGUGCGUUUCGCUUCACGCUUCUCGCUUCUGUGAAGCGAGGCCUCAUCGCUUUUUUGCGCUUAACGCUUUCCAAAUACUAAUUAAACAAGUGUAACUAUUCUAUCAAUUUUAACUUUUAGGAAAUAAUGGCUCUCAUAUAUCUUAAAAGUGACAGGACAGUAAUGCUAUUUUAAACCAUGGCUACAUUGACUAAUGUUGGUGUCAUAUAAUAUAGGACGCUACGGUCAACCCGAAGAAGUUGCUGGACUAGUGGAAUUCCUGGCACUGAAUCCUGCAGCUAGCUAUAUUACGGGACAGGUAUUGCCAUAUUAUGAGCCCGUUUGGCCAAGCUGUCAAAAUCCACUUAUUUUGAAAAGUACAACAACAACAACUACCCACUAUAGUCCCACAAAGUGGGGUCUGGGGAGGGUAAUAUGUAGACGAGCCUUACCCCUACCCGAAAGUACUUAUUUUGAAAAGUACUUGUUUUAAAAGUACUUCUGAAAAAAAAUUACUUUGUGUUUGGCCAAUUCAUUAAAAAAGUACUUUUUGCAACAUUUGGUAAAUAAAUUAUGUUUGACCAAUCUUUCUAAAAAGUGCUUUGGAGUGUCAAAUUACUAAAAAGAUAGUAUCAAGGUCUUAUGAUUUUUUUAAAUAGUAAAAUAAACUUAAAUAUUUAUCGAAAUAGACUUUUAUUGUUUUUUUUAUUUUAUUUGAUUAAAAUUAAAGCAUAAAGUAAACAAACAUAUCAAAGAUUUAAAUAAAUUUUUCAUAUGGUAUAAUUAUACCAAAGCAUAUGAUAUUAUCUAGUAUAAUUACUUAUUGUUAUAUGGUAAUUUAAAUAAUUAAAAUAACAUCAGUCAGUAUAAAUUAGAAGUCUAUCCACAAAUUACUAUAUAUUGAUAAUCCAUUAUAAAAUAAUAAGUAAAGUCACUUCCACAUGAUAAUAUUUUUCGACAAUUUCAUCUCUAUUUUUAUCACACAAUGCUUCCACUUUAGUAGAAGACUAGCCUCGCAUUUCUAAAGGAAUAUCAGAAGGCUCAUCUCUUUCAUCAAUCUCUGGAGUUAAUGUCUUUAUUAGCAUAAUUGUUGAAUUCUUUAUCAGUAGAAGAAUGUCGUCGGAUGAAAUUAUAUAUAGCCAUGGUAGUUGUAAUUAGAUGAUUCUGAAUAUCAGAAGGCUCAUCUAUUUCAUCAAUCUCUGGAGUAAUGUCUUUACUAGCAUUCUUUAUCAGUAGAAGAAUGUCGUCGGAUGAAAUUAUAUAUAGCCAUGGUAGUUGUAAUUAGAUGAUUCUGAGUGUCAAAAUUGAAAGAUGGUAUUGAGCGCAAAAUAUAAAUACUUGUAAAUAUAUAAAAAAAUCCAUAAAACAAAUAGUUAAGUAUGCUUAAAUUCUAAUUCAAAAAGAGUAACAAUACAAAUAACACAUAAUGUAUAAUUAUUUAUUUAUUUAAAAUUUAAACUAAAAAAAUUAAUUAUUACCUAACCUUACUUACUUUGUCCCAAAAUGCCAAGUGACCUAUUGUGAGGCUACCACUUGACUUAUGUGGAUGCAUUUUCUUCUUCUUUUGAUAAUAUAUAGAUAGAUUAUGAAAUGCAAUUAUAAAUUUAUUACCUAUUUGUAGAUCAUUUUUACGAAUUAGAUUUGAUAAUUGUUUUAAAGAUUCGGAAACUAAUGACAUAUAAUAGAAGAAAUUAUAAAUGAUUAUUUGUAGGAAGAGAAUUGAUAAUUUGUUUUAGUUUGAAAAAAGAAGAUAAUUUAGAAAGUUACAAGACAUUACACAAAGAAAAUCAAAAACAAGAAAUGUCAAUAAAUUUAUAAAUUUUUUGGAAAGUUACAAUAUGACUCAUAUAUAUGAUAUUUUUAACGAAAAUCAAAAACAAGAAAUGUCAAUGAAUUUUUUGGAAAGUUACAAUAUGACUCAUAUAUAUGAUAUUUUUAAUUUUAAUAGAAUGGUAAAACUUGAGACAAAAAUGAAAAGAAAAAAACUUAAAUUAAUAAGGGAUAAUUUGAAAAUUAUAAAUUUAUGGUGAGAAUAGUUUUGUUUUGAAUAAAUUAAUUUUCUACUUCUGCUUCUGUUUCUUGGAAGAAGCUAGAAUUUUCUGCUUCUUCCCAAAAGCAGAAAAACUGCUUCUGCUGCUGGCCAAAAGUACUUAUCAGAAUUGUCAAAACAACUCAAAAAUUUUAAGUACUUUUUUGGUAAAAAAAGUACUUUGGGCAUCCCAGACUCAGAAUUGGCCAAACAACUCCAAAAUUUUAAGUACUUUUUUGGAGAAAAAAGUACUUUGGGCAUCCCUGAAGCUUGGCCAAACAUGCUCUAUGUCGUUUCAUCUGUCUUUUUCCUGAAGCUUCUCUCUUGCUACUCAGUCUUAUAGCCUGUUUGGCAAACUACAAAAAUCAGCUUAUUUUGAGAAGUGUUUUUUUUCAAAAGUAUUUUUCUCAAAAGUACUUUUGGUGAGAAGCAAUUUGUGUUUGACUAAUUAAUUUGAAAAACACUUCUGAGAAACAAUUACUGGUCGGCCUAGCUUUAAAAAACUGCUUCCAAGUGUAUUUUUAUCAAAAGUGCUUUUGGAGAGAAACUAUUUUUUUCUGUUUCUGCUUCUUCUCAAAAGCACUUUUUUUUUAAAAGAACACUUUUGACCCAAAAAAAAAAGUGUUUUUGUCUCGAAAAAAUCUUGGCCAAACAGGCUAUUAGAAUAGUUGUUUAUUAUGUAUAUUUAUUUUCUUUGCAGGUCUUGACCAUUGAUGGUGGGAUGGUUAUGUAGAAGUGUAGAAACUCCGUAUUUUGUUUGCUCACAGAGAAGAAUUGGAAGGGUGAUUAUUUAGGUUCCACCCGGGCUGUAGCCUCAUUCUAUGCCUGAGGAAAAGGAACUUAUUAAUUUAGUGGUAGGAGAUGGCCGGACGUACUGUUUUCUGCAUUUUCUCCUCUUCUUUACCAUUUUGCUGGCUGAGUAAGCUUUUUUUGGAUAUUUUUGAAACAGGGUUUUAUUUUUUGUUUUCGUUUCUAUAUCAAAGUUUUAAAACCUAAAAUGUUGUAAUUGCUUGAAUGUUGAUGCAUGUUUUGGCAAUAUUGGUGUACUUCCUUUGGUCAAGCAUCUUCAUGCGCUUUCAUGGAAGGCUGCUGCUGUUUGUCCAGAUAGGGUGAGAUUGAUAAAUCAAUGACAUUAUUAUAAACGGAAGUUUUCGACCCCUAAUAUCUCUAUUUCCACCCAUUUAAAAGAUAAAUUCUUAUAGUAGUAGGCUUCUCUUUCACUAAAGCAAGGUGGCAAGCUGAACCCGAGAAAAAAUGGCUUCUAACGCGAUUAGUAAAAUACAGGCAGCCAACCACAUAGCAACUGUGAGAAGUACCUGAGCGCAUCCAUUAUUUUUUAUACUCAAUUCAAAUAUUUACAAAUUUGAAAUAUCACUUUAUCUUGCAUUUAUGUAUAUUUUAAACUAAACGAUUAGCGAAAUCUUUACUAACUUCUACAGUAAUUUGUUGCAACGUUUCUGUUGUUUUUUCCUUUCUUUUUCUAAAAUUGACCCCGAGGAUUCGAAUCUUAUUGUGACUCUAAUCUGUAAUGUAGGUGGGGUGUACUUCUUGUACCUCUCGAGUCUCCUCUGAAGUUGCUGCCCUGCCCUCGGGUUGAACUAGGGCUAUAGGUGGUAUCGGUAUUACCUCUGGAAUUUGAUCAACUUGAACCUGCUGCUUUGGGCUGCGGGUGGCAGCAGUGUGCUACUCCCCGACCUGAGAUGUUGCUUGAGUUAAAGUACUGUACAUGCUCAUGAACUGUGCAAGGGUCUCCUGAAUAAGCUGGAGUACUAGUAGUAGGCAUAUCAGGUGUAUGUGCUCCGACUGGAGUUGCUGGUGGCUCCUCUGUAGCAGCUCGCUUGGGUGCUUUGUCUACACCACGGGUAUGCCCGCGGCUUCAGUAGCGGGCGAGGGUGCUUGGUCAUCUUCGGUAGCACGUCCUCACGAUCUGUGAGAGAAUAGAAGAUAGUAGUUUAGAAUUUUAAAGUCAAUAAUCUCACACGACAAGGAAUCAAAUGAAGUAUAAUUUUCCUAACAUUUCCAUAGCCUCCCAAAGAUAAGUACAGAUUUCUCCGUACUGAUAUGCAAGACUCUAAUAAACCGGCUUGUGAUUCACGACUCCUAUGAACCUAGAGCUUUUACACUAACUUGUCACGACCUAAUUUCUCCCUUCAUUACUAGAAAAUGGUAGAUUUUCAACAGUAAAAAGGUUGGAAUUCAGCCAGAAAUCAUGUAUUUUCGACUACUUUUCAACCGCAUUUGGUCGGUCGGAAAAAAAUUGGCGAAAAAUAAUUUCAGACCGGACCCGUCGGUAAUUUCCGACUAAAGUAGUCGUAAAUUUCGAAAAGGUCACACUAACAAAUAAUUAGCCUUUCGGACUAAAGUGAUCGGAAUUUUCCGACUGAAUCGGACGUAAUAAUACAAGGAAAAUUAAUAAUUGAAUUUCAUUUAUUUUUUGACGGAAUCCGUCGGAAACUGUUGAAUAUUAAUAUUUUUAGCAAUUUGCGACCGAAUAUGUCGGAAAUUAAUAUUUAAAAAUUUUAUUUUAUUUAAUUUCCGACGAAAUAUAUCAAAAAAUUUUGAAUAUUAAUUUUUUUUAAAAAAAAUUCCGACCGAACCAGUCGACAAUCAGACAAUUUAUUGUUAAAUAUGAGAGUUUACCAACCGUAUCGGUCGAAAUUUUGUACAAAACUGAACAAGAUUCUGCCAAUUUCGAGCUACACCACCUGUCAAACUAUUACAAACAAAAAAAUACCAACCAAUAAUCUAAAUCAACGAUACAUCAAUACAAUAAUACGAACCAACAAUAUAUUAACAUUAUUAUAAUUAAUAAUACAUUAACAAAUUCUAAACCAAUAAUGCCAAUCAUUAACACAACUUAAACCAACAAUACCAACAUUUAAACCUAAUAAUUUUGGGCAUACAAACAUCCAAAUAGCAGCCGAUAUUCAAGUUUAAAAGCAAUACAUAAGUUGUCUCUCACAAUCAAGUUUAUCAGUCAACAAAAACAUCACAACUAAACUACUACACAUCAGAUUUAGUUUGUUCAUCCUCAUCAUCAGAUAAAUCAUGCCCAUGUUUACGCAUGAAUUUCUACAUCUUAACAAUGUCCCGUAUUUGGAGUCCAAUUGUUGCUUCAAUCCACGAAUUUAUUUCUCAUAUUUUUCGUCUGUUCUUGAUUUUGAGGAGAUGAAUUGGCUAAGAGUAGGUUUGAAUGACCUGUAGGUCGAUGUACUCUAAGUCCGUAGACUCCGCCUUUGUUUAGUUGAAAGAUGCUGAGUUUGUUGUCAUUCUUCCAACCUUUUAUGGUAAUCUUCCUGAAAUGAAAACAUAACUAUUAUGUAAACAGAUCUAAUGUUAAUAAACCAUAAAUAAUUAUGAAGUUAGAAUUUUACAUAUGUGUUUAACACACGCGUCUCCACCCAAUGUUCUCUUAUAUCAUCCUUUUUCUUUUUCUAAUGCAACUCCUUGAAGAUCUCAACCUAACUCACAUCUCGCCCUCUUUCCUUUUCCUUCAUAAGAAAAAUUAUGAAUUAGACUUUACAAACGUAAAAUUCUAUAUGUAAACCUACGAAAAUUUUUAUAAAUAAUUAUCAUUCUUAGUUUAUGGGCCUCAAAAGUAAUCGAACCUCCUGGGUGCAACGAACCACUUUUUUUAGAGGCACGGUUUGCCUUUGCUUGUCCACUCUUUGCCUUCCAUUCUGGGGUAUUCUAUUUCUCAAGAAGUUUAUCCCAAACAUCUACUCUUAACCAUUCCGGCAUUUCACCGGAAUUUUGAGCAGCGAGCAUAAUAUCAUUAAUUCUUAUAACAGCCUUCGUCUCAAAAAUAUUAUUUAUUGCGUUUUGAUGCUGAGGAUGCUAUGUACACUUUUUUCUGCAAUAUAAAAAAGUAACAUUAGAUGAAGACAAUAACUAUUAAUAAAUAUAAUUAAUUUUUUACCCUAAAUUGAUUCCACAUUUACUUUUUGAUGUUGUAUGGUAUAUUUCUCCAAGAAGUCCAUGGCACAUGAUAAAAUGGCUUCAUAGAACCUGUAACCAAAUGUGUAGAUUGAAAGGAUGGCAAAAACGUGCAUUAAAGUUAACAUAUAUAUAUAUAUAUAUAUAUUAAUAAGUAAAGUCACUUCCACAUGAUAAUAUUUUUCGACAAUUUAAUAGAUCGGAAGAGCGNNNNNNNNNNNNNNNNNNNNNNNNNNNNNNNNNNNNNNNNNNNNNNNNNNNNNNNNNNNNNNNNNNNNNNNNNNNNNNNNNNNNNNNNNNNNNNNNNNNNNNNNNNNNNNNNNNNNNNNNNNNNNNNNNNNNNNNNNNNNNNNNNNNNNNNNNNNNNNNNNNNNNNNNNNNNNNNNNNNNNNNNNNNNNNNNNNNNNNNNNNNNNNNNNNNNNNNNNNNNNNNNNNNNNNNNNNNNNNNNNNNNNNNNNNNNNNNNNNNNNNNNNNNNNNNNNNNNNNNNNNNNNNNNNNNNNNNNNNNNNNNNNNNNNNNNNNNNNNNNNNNNNNNNNNNNNNNNNNNNNNNNNNNNNNNNNNNNNNNNNNNNNNNNNNNNNNNNNNNNNNNNNNNNNNNNNNNNNNNNNNNNNNNNNNNNNNNNNNNNNNNNNNNNNNNNNNNNNNNNNNNNNNNNNNNNNNNNNNNNNNNNNNNACUAAUAAAUACUUUUUAAUUGAAAAUAAAUACUCCUUAAUGUUAACAUAUCUAAAUGUACAUUCAAAACAUAAAAAUUUGUAUAAGAACCUUCUUGCCGGUCCUUGUGGGGGGACAAUUAUCAAUCAAUUAUAACUAUCAAAUUGUAUAUCCCCUCCAAUAUUCUGCGUGCGUCUACGAAAUGGUGCAGAAGCAACACUAGAUGUAGUUGGGCGAGAGCCUCCAAUAUCCAACCUAGAUAUGCUGGGAAUGGAUGAUGAUGAUGGACUGGAAGAUGAUGGACCAACAAAAGAUGCACCAUCAUGCUUACUAGCAUGAAAGCUCGGGGGGUGCAGCAGCCGCUGAGCCAAUAUGCUGAUUACCAUGAAAGCCCGGGGGUGCAGCAACUGGCGAGCGGUAUGCUGACUACCAUGAAAGCCUGAGGGUGCAGCAGCUGGUGAGCCAAUAUGUUGAUUACCAUAAAAGACCGAGGGUGCAACAGCUGGUAAACCACCAUGUUGACUACCAUAAAAGCUCGAUGAAGAUAAUGGUAUAGAAGAUAUGGUUACAAAGUUAAAAAUGGUGUUACUUUGACUGUCUUUAGCAAGCAUAGAAUAAUACUAAUCUGAAUUAUUAGAUGGAGGGGGCAUAGUGAACAUGGUAGAUGGAAAUGAAGUUGACAGAAGAGGAUGAAGGAGAGGAUGACUCAUAUUUGGCAUAGUUAAGGAAGUUGGAACAGAUUAUUUUUUCUUCUUAGAUUUAAUUUUUUCCUUCCCCUUAGAUGCCACAUAUGUAAUAUAAUCAUAAUAAAAUACAAAACAAAAAAUACAAUAAGUGACAGUAAACAUAAAUAAUUAAACGACUAAAGAAAUAAAUAAACAACCUAACAAUCACGUGAUUAACACAUAUAAUUAUAAGGAUAUACUGAUAUAGUCUACUCGUAAAUAAAUCUAAAUCACUAUGCGGCAGAAGUAGAGUUGCCUAAGGAACUGUCUUGAAUAGUAACAUUCUUAUUCAACUAUCUACUUACCGUGAUCUAAAAUCUAAUAGCAUAAAACUUAAUCUCUGAAUAGAAUAAAUUUACUAAGUAGGUAUUACUUGUCAACUAAUAUUCAAAAAAUAAGUCCAAAUCAAUUGAAAUAGUUUAGUCAAUGAGAAAGACCUAAUAAUGUAACUAAGUAUUCCUAAAAAUUUUGGACACCAACUAAAAUUAAGUAUUUGGAACUGCUACCCUUGAAUUGUUGGAUAUAAGAAUCAACUUGCAUAAAAUCCACUAUCUGUUGUUGACUAAGCAAUAUAAAAAAAGAACCUAAUGCUUACCUGUAAGUACAAAUAUAAAAAAUUUCACAAUCAAUCAGAAAUUAAUUACUCAUACACUACUUCAUCAAGUAAGAAUAUCAAAGAAACAUGGAUAAACUUGAAUACCAAUUACACAACAACAAAAUCAGUAACCAAAUAGAAUUUUUAUUGGUACAAAACAUAAAGAAUUUCACACUCUCAUAUCCUAAAAUCUAGAACUCUUGCACCCAGCAGAAAAACCUUGAGGAAACCUCUUAGAAUCAUCAUAAUAGUUAUAAACCAUGUGUCUUUUUUGUACCCAUCUUAGCCUAUUUCUUCCCUUACCAUCAAGUUCAUGAGUUUGCCAUAGCUUAGCAUUUUGUCACGUCCCAAAUUACCCCUUAAAUGUGACUGACACCCAACUAACAUCACCUGCUAGGCAAACUAUAUUUUUAUACCUUAAUCAUUGAUUUGCAUUAUUUGGUUAAUUAUGAGCAUCCAAAUAAUUUGAUAAUUAAUUAUGAACAAAUGGUAUCUCAAAUUAUUAAAUUAAAACUCUAGCCAAAAUUCUACACUAGACCAUGGAGCAUCUAAGAGAAUUACAAAAGACAUCACAUCGAUAAAUGAUAAAGACUCUUUUGGAAGCCUCCACAAACAAUACGGCGUCUCACCUCAAUAACUGAAUCAACUCCAACGAACUCACCAAUGGUAUCUGUAUAGACAUGCAGAUAAGGAGUGAGUUAUAUAUAAAUAUAAUUCAGUAAGAUUCUUGACCCGCCACUUUAAAUACCUCUGGAACAAGAGUUGAAAAAUACAAAUACACUACAAUACGAAUGAUAUAAUAAAUAUGAUAAUUGUACUAUAACUCAAUAUAUGUGUAUCAAUAGAGUUAUUAAGAAUUAACCAAUAAUUAUACUCACUAAGGAUUUAUUAUAAUUGCAGUGAAAAAAGUUUGCCAACACACCACGAGUCCACAAUGGCACCACAAUGCCUCAAAUAUGUAACAUAGCAUACACAAUGUUGGGGUGAUGUAAAAAGGCAUACAUAAUGCCCCAACAUCAUGGCACACAGCCAUAUCAAACUCAACAUCAUGGCACACAACCGUAUCAAACUCAACAUCUUGGCGCACAGCCGUAAAACUCAAUAUCAUGGCACACUGCCAUAUCAAACUCAACAUCAUGGCGCACAACCGUAUCAAACUCAAUUUCAUGGCACACAACCAUAUAACUCAAUAUCAUGGCGCACAGCCGUAUCAUACUCAACACCAUGGCUCACAGCCGAAUCAAACUAUAAAGAUCAACAUCAUGGCGCACAGUCGUAUCACACUAUCAAACAACUUAUAAAAUAAUAUUUUUUUUGAUAAAAUAAUAUAUUUGCUGCUAGUCUAAGACCACCAACUCUGUCAAGCGCACGCUUGUCCCAACACAUGGACCAGGCAGGGAAAACACACUUUUAAAAUGGGUUUUAGAAAAGCAAGUAUCAAAGCUUAAAGUCUCACUUACCUCGCUAAUAAAGUUUUCCAACUUUGCAGCAUCUAGAACACCAACCAAAUAUCUUUAAAUGACCUAAAUCUAGGUAAAAUAUUAACAAACGAUGUUAACUAUGCUAACUGAGGCCUUUUUUUUUAUAAUUUUUGGAAUAUCGAGUCAAAGUUAACUAAGCAGCCAUCUCCCAAUCAACAUGGUGAAAUCUCGAACAAAUUAUAUUUUCGAGUUAAGUAUAAGUAAUAGAAUCCAAAUACAUAAUCUAAUUUCAGUCUUAAUGCCAAUUGGAAGGGGUCAUCUCUCAAUAUUGUGAUAUUUCAUGUUUAAAGCAACGUCUCAAAUAUUGAUAUCUUAAACCAUAAACUUAAGUAAACUAUGUCUCAAUAACUUGCAAUCCAGCUCAUCAUAUAAUUCAUGUAUACCGGUAUUCAUGUAGUAAGAAUAAUAAUUAAAUUUAGAAAAAAAUAGAUAAAUAAAAAAAAUAGACAAAUCAAAUACCUUAAAAUCGUGGCUUGCUGUAGCCGAGCGUGUUGCAUAUAAAUAUAGUACUCUAAAUCCCAUUGUUGCUUGCUUAAGCAAAAGUUCACGUCCUCUUUUCAAUAAGGUUUCCUACCCAAUUUAGUUAUGACUCCAUGGGUUUAUAGGAUUGCAAAUAAGCAGUUUUGCCUUUACUUAGGUUUCACCGUCGACUUUCCUGAAUACAGUUCCCCAUAAUUUUUUUUCCUUCAACCAUGAAUUAAAACCCCGCUUUCACUUAAUUGUACCCUCUUAUAUCACAUGUCACAAUUAGCCACUCUUCAAAUAUAUAAACUAAUUAAGUAACUAGACACUUAUUUAAUAUUUAAACUCGCACACUCUAUAUCUCUCAAUUCUUAAGUACUACUUCCGAGCGCGUGUGUAUAUAUAUAUCCAUAUGAAAGUUAAGUAAUUAUUUUUACCUCUGUAAUCACUUAAUAAGAAUUUAAAAUUAAAGAAAUAAUUUAAAGUCAAAAAAAAGAAUGACAGGUUAUUACACAUUGUUUGCUGAAUUGCUUGAUUUACAUAAUGAGGUGACGGAUAACACCGCACAACCAUCAAUAUUGAUGUUUAUGUAUUAUGCUGUGAAAGUUAAUUGCAUUAAUGUUUUUCAAAGUGCUAGAGAUAGAAUAGUUGGGAAAGUUAACCAAGUAGUUGGACUGUUGGAGUUCAUCGUAUCACAAAAGUUUCAUGAUUUUUUAGUAUAUGAGCCCCCUUACUUCUAUACUAUUUAUCUUGUACAUAAAGAUAAUAGUAGAUAAUGUGAUGAACCUCCUAAAAUGUAUGACAUAUUUUACACAGUAGAACAACAUAAAUUAGAGUGGAUUUGAGAUUUUCUCUUCUUUCUUUUUUGGAUAAGUUUAUAUUUGUGUUAAUAUUGAUCUUCUUACAUACUGACUAAUGCUUAUAUUGAAAAUCUAACUUAUUAAAGGUUCUCUACUCUAUUGGUUGUUACUUUGUCUAAAUUUUUGAAGAACACUAGAUAAAUAGCAUUAUUGACCAAGACAUGUCACUUUAGCAUAUUUUAUAGAAAGCCAACAUUUUGAGAACAUUACUAGAUAUUCACUCAACAUCAAACUUUUUCCACAAAGACUUAGAGCCUUCUUACUGGAAUACUUCUUCUUUAUCUGCUUUAUUUCAUUAUCGCAAAGACUUAAUUGGAACUACAUCUCCCAAAUUAAUUUCUGUUUGUAAUGAUUCUUCUUAACUUUCUUUACUACUCCCAAUAAAAUGCACUUUAAAAAAAUAUCUCAAAAAACAAAAAAAGAUUAAAUAUAUCUUAUUUGAUAAUUUUUCCAAUAAGCUAACAGGGAAAAGACAAUUAUGGAUUCAUUGCAACUCUCACAAUUAUUUGGAAAGUACUUAUUUGGGAUAGUUUAUAGAAAUAGGAUAAAACAAUUGGGAUCACAUCAUGAUUAUUAUACAGGCAAAAAGUGUCUUAAUAGGUUCAAGAAAAGUGUACAGAACAUAAAGGAGAAAUCAAAGAUGAAUAAAUCUAAAAAAAUGCAAAGAUACUUUUGGAUGCACUGUAUGAUAGAGCUAUAUCGGGUAAGUGAAGCUUAGUACAAAGAUACUUUUGGAUACAAUACUUCUGUGCAUAAAGAUAAUUCUUGAUGAUCUAUAAGAUAAGGGGAUUUAUCUAAUAAAAUACAUUAUGAUAAAGGAUAGUACUUGACCUAAAUUUAGAACAACUAGAUCUUGCAUAAAUUGAGGUAAGAGAAGUAGUAAUUCUUAUUCUGAAGGUAACAACAACAACAACAACAACAACCCAGUAAAAUUUCACUAGUGGGUCUGGGAAGGGUAGUGCAUAUGCAGACCUUAGUCCUUACCCCUACCCCGAAGGAGUAGAAGUUAUUCUGAAGUUAAUGUAGUAAAAAUAAAUAAAAAUAUUAAAGACCAUAGAUUUGCAACUCCAAAAUACAGACACCUCUAUCUUCGUCCUCACUUGUAAUCAUCUAAGAAUAACAAGUUAAUCUUUAUCUCUAUCUUCAUAGUAAUCAUCUAAGUCUUCAUCAUUACCUGUUUCACUUUCAUCUUUAAUUCUUCCUUAUCACUUAUUUCAUGUUCUACAUCUCUAUCUUCGUCCUCAUUUGUAGCAAGGACAGAAGGAUCAAAUUCUUCAUAUAUUCCUUCAUUAUGUUGCAAUUCAUCUGCUAAUUUCAUCAUCCACUAGUGAUUCAACAUUUGAAAUGUCAUUCUGGUACGCCACUUCUAAUGCAUCUUCGACUACCACUCUAUCCACGGGCUUUGUUUUCAAAACUAUCCGUCAUGCAGACUUAUUCUUGCUCAAAGGAUAAGGAUCAUAAUACACUUGUUUUACUUUUUGUGCAAUGAUGAAGGAAUAAUAAAGUCUAUAUUGUGACGUGUGUUUAAUUUCAACUAUGUUGUAUUGAGCGUGCACUUUGUACCUCUAUUCGGUGUUGGAUCACACCAUUUACAUCGAAAACGUACCAACUUUUUCUUCGGCCAACCUAUAACAUAUUCAAUUCCAAAAUCUCUUGAAGCACACCAUAAUAAUCAACAUAUCUAUCACCUUUCACCCACACCUCACUGUUGUUGGUUUUCUUUCCGUUAGACCAUUCUUCUGUAUGAAACUUAUACCCAUUGACCACGUAUUUAGACAUCAUUCUUACUCUAGGGUCAGGUUCCCAAGCUGUAUCACGUAAAAAUGGAUCUUUAAUGUCAUUAGCUGGAUUAGAACCUAUAAAUAUAUAUAUAUAUAUAUAUAUAUAUAUAUAUAAAACUAAAUAUAAUUUAGAAUCAUAUAUAUAUAUAUAAAAUUAAUUAAUUACAUGUAAUAAAAAUCAUGUUAAAUAAUAAGUAAUACUUACAAAUUCUUUAAACCACUCUGAAAACUUGGGAUAAACAACACCUUGCCCAUAUAUACCUACAAAGUAACUGCCAUUAUAAUGUUUAUUAGUUAAAUCCGCGGUACAUUUAAUAUAAAAGUUUGUAAUAUAUACGAAUAUAUAGUUAUCUAUAAUAAGGUUGGACCUCAGAGAAUUUUAACAAUACAUGUGUUGCAGCUGACUUUAGCUCCAUCUCAGACAACCUUCUCUUUGGAUUAUUUCUUGGGCCUCUUUUACCUGCUUGAUUAAAAAUGGAAAAGGGUGGUUCCAAAGGAUCGAUUUCGCCUCCAUCGUCAUGCCGAUUCGAUCUAUUUCUCAAACAUUGCACAUUAUCUUCAAAAUUAUAUGAACAGAAAUAAGAUGUUUCUUUAGCCACAUAUAACUCGCAUAUCGAACCCUCAGUUGUUGAUCUAUUUUUAUGGUCCGUUUACAUUUGCCAAUAGUCCUUUGCGAGGUUCAUAGAUAGGCAGCCUUUCAUUUCCAUCGGAAGCCAUGCUCAAUUCCAUGUCAUUGGCACGAGUUGCAAGUUCUUCAAAUAUGCCAGGCUUGAUACCCUGCAAGAUGUAGCGUGAUCCCUAACGCAUGCCUUGGAUGCACAUCUCUAUGCCUGAAGCUUUACUAAGCCUGUCUUUGCAGUCGAGUCUUGCAUUUCUCCAAUGAUUGAUAAAGUCGAUAAUUGGUUCCCCCUUUCGUUGACAAGUAUUUGUAAGUUCUAUCAUACUGACAGUACGUCUCGCACUAUAAAAGCGAUUGAGGAACUCUUGCUCUAGUUGAUCCCAACUAUUGAUAGUACAGCCUCGAGGUCCGUGUACCAGUCAAAAGCAUUUCUUUUAGCGAACGGACAAACUGCUUGAUGAGGUAACUUCCAUAAGCCCCAACAUUGUUGCACGCCUCCACGAAGUGCGGAACAUGUUGCUUUGACCAUCAAACUAUUGAAACUUUGGAGGUUGAUAGUCAGAAGGCAUCUUCAACAUAUCGACCCUUGAAGUGUACGACUUUGAAUACGUAAGGGAGGAUUUGGCAGCAAUUUCGUAUUUGUUAUUAAUGGUUCCUUCAAUGAAAUCCUUCAAUUGAUCGAUUGAAAUCAUUCUUUUAGAUGAGACAGGGAUAGCCUUAGUGGAUGUUACUUGUCUUGGGGGAGAGUCACUCUCUAGAACUUCUAGGAGCUUGCCGGGUGCAUGGGUGGAUUUUUCUUCCAUCAACAUUCCCACCCUGUUUGUUAGCUUGUCGAUUAUAUCCUCUUGAUUUUGCUUGCGCUUGGUCAAGCCAUCGAUUCCUUCCAUCAAUUUUUCCAACUGUGAGAGUCACUCUCUAGAACUUCUAGGAGCUUGCCGGGUGCAUGGGUGGAUUCUUCUUCCAUCAAGAUCCCCACCAUAUUUGUUAGCUUUUCAAUUCUAGCCUCUUGAUUUUGUAUGCAUUUGGUCAAGCCAGCUAUUGGUUCUAUCAAGUUUGCCAGCUGCUCCUCAAUAGAUGAAGUGUUUGUCACCAUUGCUUGCAUAAUUCUCGUGUAUGACAGAGAGUAGCAUGGAUUUUCACACAGAUUAAUCCUUGAUUAGCUCACGCUGUGUGGUGUAAGUGGGGAGGAUCCAUCACUUAAAGCAUCAUCAUCUUCCUAAACAUAAGAGUGCUUGGAUCCGGAGAGGUCAAGCAGAGCAAGAGUUUUCUUGAUCUUUUCAGCAACAUCGCUUCCUCCUUCAGAUGUGUUUGUGGCAGAUCUUGCUUUUUUCGAGGAUGAAGAUCCAAAAAUAGAGGUUGAUGCGGAUGACACUUGGGGUGCUUGAUGUCCUAAAGAGCUUUGAUUUGCUCCUCAUAACUGGUCCGAAGUUUUCAAAUGUGACAUCGAGGAUGCUUUCUACAUCAACAGAGAACCUUGAGUUAGCAGCCUUGGUGGAAGUUGAAACGGAGUUUAUUUUCUUUGAAGCCAUUUCAAUAUUCUUGAACUUAGGUUAUUGAAAAGUUGAGAUGAGAGGUAGAGAUGGUCCCACUAGGCGUGCCAAAAUUUGUAGAUAAUAAAUUUGCAUCGGGAAAAUAAAAUCAAGGCCGAAAAUAUCGCAACAAUUGUAGUACUUUAUUUCGAAUAUUUUGAGUAUUACAAUCUCUAUGAAUUCUCUGAUUCUUCUUUCCAAUAGUAAAUAAAUUCAAGGACCAUGGAGCUUGAUCUGGAAUCUAUAUUUGUUUCCACGAACGAUGAUCUUGUUCUUGAGUUUAAGCUUGAGCUUGACUGCUUGAACUUGAUCUUGAUUUCUUCUUCGUUCUUGAGCUUGAAAUUGUUUGUCCUACGUUCUUGAGCUUGAAAUUAUUUGUUCUUCAUUCUUGAGCUUGAACUUGAUUGCUUGAAGCUUGAAACUUGUGGAGGAAUUUGUAGCGUUUGUUCCACGAGCUCUUUCUUGCUUCUUGCUAUAACUUUUGAUAUCUUUUCUGGGUUAUGAAGACCUCUAUUUAUAGUUGUGGGAGGAAAGAGUUAUACUAAGAACAAAUUCUUUCAACUUCUGGUGUCUUUUCUGAGUUAUGAAGACCCAUAUUUAUAGAUAUGGGAGGGAAGAGUCAUGAUAAGAACAAACUCUUUCCGAUCUAUCAAAUUGAAGUGUGACAUGGCCGUAUUUGAUUGGCCAGAACAUGUUACUUGCACACGUGGCGCAGUUUCAUUGGCCUUUUAGUGUGACUUGGCAUGCCUUGUCAUUUUGACAUGUGACAUGAUCCUAUUGGCUCUUCCGCUUGACUUGGAGCUCCACGUCAUUUGACACGUGGCACCAAACUGGGCUUCUAGGAAGAUGUCAUCUUGGGCUUAAUGAAGUGGGCUCAUCACUCUUGCCCAAUUAAAUGGGUUAGCCCAAUAAUAUUUGACUUAUACAAUUAAUCCAAUUAUAUUAGACCAAAAUAUUUAUUCGGAGUAAUAUAUUUAAAAUAUAAUCCAAAUUUAAUGAAUUUGAAUUCAAUAAUUUUUUUUACAUGCCUGCAAAUUCACUUCUUCAAAUAAUCCAUUAUCCCUCCGGAUAAUUCAUAAAUCAUCUGAUUGGUUUCUGCAAGUUUAAAGUAUUAGUACAUGGUAAGAUUUAUACGUUUUUAAUAUAAAUUGCCCCUUUUGAUAUCGAAUAUAAGCAGACCUCCAAAAUUUACAGCUUUGGAUUUGCUUUAAUGCCAUAUACUAGUAAAAAUGCACGGGGUGCUUUAUUUGGCCACCCCUAUUUAAUUUAUACUUAUUUUAAAAAAAAAUUAACUUGUACUCAGUUUUUAAACAAUUUCAACCACUUUCUCGUUCUCCUUCGUUUCUUCUUCUUCUUCUUCUUCUUCUUCUUCUUUUAUUAACAAAUGCAAGGCACUAUGAUUAAUUCUCUAAUACUAUCACCAUCUUAAAAGAAAUUUUCAUUUUGUUUUUAACAUUGUAUUUUUAGAAUUUUUAUAUUAGGUGAACACAAUAGAUGCAACAGUAACUUUGGAAUUUGUUUCUGUAGAAUAGUAGUACAAAUUUCAUCCUUUUAGACAGAUUCGGUUCCUUUUCGAGUUUCGGAUAAAAACAAAAUCGUUAUCUUGAAAAACUCUCUCUGGACCAUCUUUACAGAAGAGGUUUUCUUUGCUUUAAGGAUAACUCAGUGCAAAUACAAUUUUUACCGAUAGAACAUAAGCUUUGCCAUUUAUAUUUUACUCUUCUUAUAAAAUGUUACUUUCAGUUUAUAUAGUGCUGAAAUUUUUACAAAUAAAAUAACUUCAGCAUCUUCUGCUGAAAUUUUUCAAAAAGUUUAUCCACGAUAAGAAAAACCUAAGCUUAUUUAGUGCUAAUAUUUUUACAAUAAGUUCAGCAUCAUAUGCUAAAGUUUUUGAAAAAUCUUUAUGACAAAACUAUCCAGAACAAAAAUAGUAGCUGGGGGUGAACAUCUGCCCAAAAGAAAAGCCGCCUGGAAGUCCGAGGACCUUUAGUACUGUACUAUACCCCCGAACCAGCAGCGUUCGUGCAAAGAAAGACCGCCCUUGUUCCUUUCCUUUCUCCAUUCCGCCUCCUUCUUUGCUUUGUUCCAAUAGAGUCUAAGGCAAAGUGGUUCGUAUGCCUACUUGACGAAAGGGAACGAACAACCUUUCAUUUCCGGGUUUAUGGAUUGGAUUCAGUCAGCCUCACGACAUAAUCAGAGUGAGGCUUUGGUUACCGGCAAACGCUUCUCCAAAGGCGACCCUCUCGAGUUUCCGUGUAUGCUUACUUGAUGAAAGGGAACGAACAGCCUUUCAUUUUCGGGGUUUAUGGAUUGGAUUCAGUCAACCUUACGAUAUAAUCAGACUGAGGCUUUGGUUACCGGCAAACGCUUCUCCAAAGGUGACCCUCUCGAGUUUCCGGCUGUUUUCGUCAUUGAAGUAGCCUUUCGUUGCCCUACCAAACAAAAGAAGUCACUAUCAAAUAGCUCGCCCUAUUGAAGUACCAAAGGUGCGCUCAGCUUACUCAGGAAAUGAGUUUGCCCUUGAAUUGAAGUGAUGACGUCGGAAAGAGGGAUGUAGGCCUCCUAUUGACUAAAGGUUGGUUCUUCGCUUUCCUUUGGAAUGAAAGUUGCUAUGAAGCCCCUACUACUUACUUUGUUUGAUUCAAAAGGCGAACAACCCCCAACUAGUUGUAUAAAAUAAGUUAAGCAUAUUCUGCUGAAGUUUUUGAAAAAUCUUUAUGACAAAACUAAUAAAUUCAAAACAAAAAAAACUUUAGCUAUUUUAGUGCUUAAGUUUUUUUCAAAUGAAUAACUUCAGCAGUGCCUUUGCGACUUCAGGUUCGUCUACUAAAAUGCUAAAGUUUUGCGUAAAUACAUUUACUAUUUCAAUCCCAUAUAUUAAAGUUACGUAAAAAAAUAGGUACACUUAUUAUUUUUUUAUAAAGCGAACACAAAUUAACACGUGAUCCAAAUAACAAGUAUAAAUACGAAUCCCCACAUAUACUCCUCUUGUCGAGUAGCAAAGGUCAAGCACAAGUCACCCAAACUUUACCUAAUCGGCGAACAGUAAACUAACAUGUGGGAGUAACCAUUUCACCAUUCUGUGUGCCCCACAUUUUUCCUCUUGUUUGAAACGACGAACGACUAAGGAGGCUCCUUGGUUUCAUCGGAACAAUUACAAUAAAUUAACAUACGCUUCUCUCCAACUCCAACCAGUGAUCCGUCUUCCCUUCACACCUGGCCACUUUACUCCGUUCAAUGGCUUCUCUCGCCUUUAAUUCCGUCGCAACCACCUCCAAAUUCCACUCCUCCUCCGCCGCCAUCGGAAGCUCCUCCAUCCGCCGCCAGCUUACGCAUCUCCGCCUUCCGUCUUCCCCUCUUCAGCCAUCAC